UUCGUAGGCGGUGUGGCAAGUUGGGAGUGAAAUCUCUGGGCUUAACCCAGAGGCUGCUUCCAAAACUGCUGUGCUUGAGUGUGGGAGAGGCGCGUGGAAUUGCAGGUGUAGCGGUGAAAUGCGUAGAUAUCUGCAGGAACACCCGUGGCGAAAGCGGCGCGCUGGACCACUACUGACGCUGAGGAACGAAAGCUAGGGGAGCAAGCAGGAUUAGAUACCCUGGUAGUCCUAGCCCUAAACGAUCGGGACUUGGGGUGCCGCACGUUCGUGCGUCGUCCCGGAGCUAACGCGUUAAGUCCCGCGCCUGGGGAGUACGGUCGCAAGACUGAA
Molecule: ribosomal RNA, 330 nt
Filed under: uncultured bacterium
Lineage: Bacteria
Description: bacterial SSU rRNA
Rfam family: Bacterial small subunit ribosomal RNA
Source: RNAcentral